AACGAACGCUGGCGGCAGGCUUAACACAUGCAAGUCGAACGCAUCGCAAGAUGAGUGGCAGACGGGUGAGUAACGCGUGGGAACAUACCCUUUUCUACGGAAUAGCUCUGGGAAACUGGAAUUAAUACCGUAUACGCCCUACGGGGGAAAGAUUUAUCGGGGAAGGAUUGGCCCGCGUUGGAUUAGCUAGUUGGUGGGGUAAAGGCCUACCAAGGCGACGAUCCAUAGCUGGUCUGAGAGGAUGAUCAGCCACAUUGGGACUGAGACACGGCCCAAACUCCUACGGGAGGCAGCAGUGGGGAAUAUUGGACAAUGGGCGCAAGCCUGAUCCAGCCAUGCCGCGUGAGUGAUGAAGGCCUUAGGGUUGUAAAGCUCUUUCACCGAUGAAGAUAAUGACGGUAGUCGGAGAAGAAGCCCCGGCUAACUACGUGCCAGCAGCCGCCGUAA
RNAcentral lists this ribosomal RNA (447 nucleotides) under uncultured bacterium. RNAcentral's name for it is "partial 16S ribosomal RNA". It matches the Rfam family "Bacterial small subunit ribosomal RNA", at positions 29 to 523 of the family's 1533-position model. The record is from RNAcentral.